Long non-coding RNA from Oncorhynchus tshawytscha (Chinook salmon), 3279 nucleotides. The record is from Ensembl. NCBI's taxonomy places the organism in Eukaryota, Metazoa, Chordata, Actinopteri, Salmoniformes, Salmonidae.
GUUCGAUUAAUAAUUGGUUAAGAAAAAUGUGCAUGUUUAAAGACAGUCUGUACAGAAUAUAUUUGUUAAUUGAUCGGUUAAACCGUUCCAGGCAUUGUAGAAAUCAAAUACACCGAAACCAUUCCAUAGGAGCCUGUGGUACAAUAAAUGGACUAGGAGGAAUGGGAUACAGGUGAAGAGUAUUGAGGCAGUCAAAGUAAAAGGCCAAUCAAAAUCCAGUUGAAGCUAGAACAUUUAGAAUGGGCUGCGUCUCAAGCCACUGCAGCCGCCUGUCACCCUUACGCAUCUGCAGUGGACAGGGGCCGAGCUACAGUGGUGUUGGUCAGACACCCCAAAAAUGCAGUCUCAAAAACAUCUAUAGCUUCAGAACGGUUUGGCCUACAAACUGACCAUUAUGGGAAAUUGACUCCCGAACAUAGUUACGUUUCCCUCUAUAACCCCACAAUUGUAAGACAGGUAACCCAUACAAACAGAAAUAUGGAGGUAGAAGCAUCCAAAAUAACAUUUGAGUCAACUAGAUAUGGAACAGACACUCCUAAACUGAUUUUACUCUUUGCCAUUUGUGGUAUGGGCUAUAGUAUGAGGCGAAAUGCAAGUUAAACACCAACUCGUCACUCAAUUCUAGUAGCUAAAUGAGCCAUGGUGAUGAGUCAUGGUCUGACCAUCUAAAAAACAUUCCCUAUAUGUUAACUUACUGAGGUCAUUUAUGAACAUUUGAACAACUUGGCCAUGUUCUGUUUUAAUCUCCACCCGGCACAGCCAGAAGAGGACUGGCCACCCCACAUAGCCUGGUUCCUCUAGGUUUUGGCCUUUCUAGGGAGUUUUUCCUAGCCACUGUGCUUCUACACCUGCAUUGCUUGCUGUUUGGGGUUUCUGUACAGCACUUUGAGAUGUCAGCUUAUGUAAUGAAGGGCUAUAUAAAUAAAUUUGAUUUGAAGAAAGUCUCACUGUAUACAAUGCAUGCCUACAUCUAAAGUAUGAACAUAUGAAGAAUGUCUGACAACUCACCCCUUGACAAAUGUAGACCCAAGCUUUUAUUUUGAACAACCAGUAGCAAAGGUAAAAGACUAGAAAAACCAAAGAAUUAACUGAGCAGUCAUUUUUACUACAGACUGCACACCACCUGUUCUCAAUUAGCAAGCAAUGGACACGAGAACCAUUAUUUCACAGAGACAGGGCAUUUUUUAAAGUAGAACUGUUCAUGUACUCCCUCACGCUAGAGUAGCAAGAGCACCAGACACUUCCUGGUCGAAACAAAAGCAGAAAGAAAUGCAGUGUCAGCAACACAGAAUGUUAAGUAACCAAUGUCAAAAACAAUUCUCACCAUUAGCUUCUAGAGGAUGAAUCCAUUACAUUUUCUUGUUGAAAGAUAUGGUUAGUACAAAGGACUUCAAAUUCAGAGAGCAAAGUUCAGAGCAGGUUAAAGUGAACCAUUACCUUGCAGAAUCUUUCACUAGUGAUGGAUAUGCGCUUGGUGCACCAGUACGAACAAAACUGUCCUUGGGAGCAUUUCCAAUGUGAACAAGCAUAGCCUCCCUAGGAGUGUAGCGGGUUAAGGAGAAUACAGUCCUGCCAUUCUCGUAGUGCGAUUUGGAACUGUAGGAAUAGAUUGGGAUGACACCCGACUGUUCAACGAUGCUGGCCUGAGUGCUACUAGAGGCACCAUCUUCAGUGCUUUCGUAGUGAUUCUGCUGGGGCAUGGACAUUGGGGCCAGUUGCUUCUGGGGCAUUUGAGCUGGAUACCCCACUUGCUGGGGUAUGGUGGCCGGUUCGUUCUGCUGCGGUUCAGCAGCCGGUUGCUUCUGCUGUAUUUGAGCUGGUUGCCACUCUUGCUGAGGCACGUCGGUCAGUCGCUUCUGCGGUAGAGGCAUGGAGGCCAGUUGCUGCCGUGACAUUUGAGCUGGAUACCACACUUGCUGGGGUACGGCGGUCGGUUGCUCCUGCGGUAGAGGCGUGGAGGCCGGUUGCUUCUGCUGCUGGGGAAAUUCAGCUGGAUGCCAUACUUGCUGAUGCGUAUGCGGCAUGGCGGUCACCGCAGCGACUUGCUUCUGGACCGUUUUAGCUGGAUACCACACGUCGUGAGGCUGCUGGGGCAUAGGGGCCGGUUGCUUCUGUGCCCGAUGCCACACUUGCUGAAGCAUGGCAGCCGGUUGCUUAUGCUGCUGGGGCAUUUGAGCGGAUUGCCACAGUUGUGGUGGAUUGGCGGUCAGUUCCUUCUGUGGUAGAUGCAUAGUGAAUCGUUGCUUCUGCUCCUGGAGAAAUUGAUCUGGAUGCCACAAUUGCUGAGGUGGCUGGGGCAUGGCGGUCAGUUCAAUUUGCUGCUGAGGUUCAGCGGCCGGUUGCUUCUGCAGCUGGGGCUUUUGAGCUUGAGACAACAUUUGCUUGGCCAAGGUGGUCGGUUGCUUCUGCUGCUGGGGUUCAGUGGUUGGUUGGUUCUGGGGCAUUUUAGCUGGAUACACCACACUUGCUGAGGUUGCUGGUGUAUGGCGGUCAGUUCCUUCUGCGGUGAAAGCCUUAGGGCUGGUUGUUUCUGCUGCUGGGGAAAUUGAGCUGGAUGUCACUCUUGAGGCAUGGUGGUCAGUUCCUACUGCCGAGUUGCAGCUGCUUCUGGACCAUUUUAGCUGGAUACCACAAGUCAUGAGGCUGCUGGGGAAUGGGGGCCAGUUGCCACACUUGCUGAAGCUUGGCAGCCGGUUGCUUAUGCUGCUGGGGAAUUUGAGCGGAUUGCCACAGUUGUGGUGGAAUGGCGGUCAGUUCCUUCUGCAGUUGACGCAUAGGGACGGGUUGCUCCUGGGGAAAUUUGGCUGGAUGCCACUGAGGUUCAGCGGUUGGUUGCUUCUGGGGCAUUUGAGCUGGAUACCACACUUGCUGAGGUAGCUGGGGUAUGGAGGCCUGUUCCUUCUGAUGCUGAAGUUCAGUAACUGGUUGCUUCUGGGUUAUUUGAGCUGGAUACAACAUUGCUUGAGGCUGCUUAGGAUAACUGGCCGGUAGCGUCUGCUGUUGGGUCAUGGCGGCCGGUUGCUUUUCCUGCUGCUGGGGCAUUUGAGCUGGAUUCCUGUUGCUGCUGGGGAAUGUGCAUUGGAUACCACAUUUUCUGAGGUGCCUGGGGCAUGGGGGCCAGUUGCUUUUGAAGGAUGGCUUCCAGAUGUGUAUGUUGUUCUUCGGUCAGCUGCGCUUGCAAUUGAGCUGUUGGAGAGUUGUAAUUACCAUAUCCUUUAGACCUAAGUGGGCCUGUAUAGAGCCAUGCUGCAUCAGAACCUGGUGCAGGAUACCCAUCAC